This 87-nucleotide transfer RNA is filed under the name Hellea sp. Its description in RNAcentral is "tRNA-Leu". It matches the Rfam family "tRNA". Rfam says of the family: Transfer RNA (tRNA) molecules are approximately 80 nucleotides in length. Lineage: Bacteria; Pseudomonadati; Pseudomonadota; Alphaproteobacteria; Maricaulales; Robiginitomaculaceae. The record is from RNAcentral.
GCGGCUGUGGCGGAAUUGGUAGACGCGCAGCGUUGAGGUCGCUGUCCAGUAACAUGGGUGGAAGUUCGAGUCUUCUCAGCCGCACCA